Molecule: long non-coding RNA, 938 nt
Organism: Dermacentor andersoni
Lineage: Eukaryota; Metazoa; Arthropoda; Arachnida; Ixodida; Ixodidae
Source: RefSeq, a predicted model, not a curated record
GCUGAUAAGCAGCAAGAAGCGUGCGUCACAUUUCCAGUAGGCGUGGAUGCAGUAGAUGAAAUAAUAGAGUAGUAUAUGCCAUCGGACUGUCAAUUAUAGCGGAGGCGCCCAAAGAUAAGCUACACAGAUGAUGAUCAGCAACGAACCAAGCAACCUCAAUUAGAGACACCGGAUUCUGCAAAAGCCUUUCAGUCAGACUACCACUAUUUCAAGCGCACCAGAAAGAAAUGAGGGCUGCUGUGACAGUACUCCUUAUCGCACUAACAGGAAUUCUAAUUUUGGCGGAGAAGUCAUGCACUGCCAUUACCUGCGGAGAGCCUCCAGAAGGGUGCCCGCCCCCCACAGCUGAGAAGAACGUCACGCUCUAUUUCUACAGCUACGCAAUUAACGACUGCUUCGGCGUCGACACCAGCGGCUGCGAAGGCUACGGAUGGGGAACUCAUUUCGAUUGCUGGGCGAACUGUCGCCACAUUUAGGCGGUCGCAUUCUUGCUUACGUCACAAUAACCUCAACGGCCGCCCAUUGGGUAUGACAACAGUAUGCUAAUAGAAGAAAUAGCAGCCAUACAGGUGUGACUUAAAGCAGUCCAAAGAAGAGCACUUUAUUUUUUUCCUUACUCACGCAAAGAUUAUGUUGGCACAGUAUGGGCCUAAAUCUUUUAUUUGUUUGAAGUUUGAAGUUUAUUUCUUUCUUCAUUACAGAAAGUGGAAACAAGAGCUAAGGGCCAUAUGGCCUGACACGGGCUCUUGCUCCUAAGCGCGUUCGGCUUACAUGAUAAUUGAAUGUACGGAAAAAGCAAAUAUAACAAGAACUAGCAAGUAAGUACGAUGUAGAAAAUGCAAAUGAACAAGAUAGUUUGUACAUUACACAAUGACUAUGUUCGUUAACAAUGACUUGUUCGGAACAGAAAUAUUUAAUAAAUGCCGUUCUUUACUUCA